RNAcentral lists this ribosomal RNA (253 nucleotides) under uncultured bacterium. Its description in RNAcentral is "partial 16S ribosomal RNA". It matches the Rfam family "Bacterial small subunit ribosomal RNA", at positions 524 to 776 of the family's 1533-position model. The record is from RNAcentral.
UACGAAGGGGGCUAGCGUUGUUCGGAAUUACUGGGCGUAAAGGGCGCGUAGGCGGCUCUUCAAGUUAGGCGUGAAAGCCCCGGGCUCAACCUGGGAAUUGCGCUUGAUACUGUUGGGCUUGAGUUCGGGAGAGGAGAGUGGAAUUCCCAGUGUAGAGGUGAAAUUCGUAGAUAUUGGGAAGAACACCAGUGGCGAAGGCGGCUCUCUGGACCGAUACUGACGCUGAGGCGCGAAAGCGUGGGGAGCAAACAGG